This 530-nucleotide ribosomal RNA is filed under the name Phalacrostemma sp. AM_W50676. RNAcentral describes it as "partial large subunit ribosomal RNA". It matches the Rfam family "Bacterial large subunit ribosomal RNA", at positions 1810 to 2613 of the family's 2925-position model. The record is from RNAcentral. Lineage: Eukaryota; Metazoa; Annelida; Polychaeta; Sabellida; Sabellariidae.
AAAACAUCGCCUCCUGAAAAUCUAUUAGAGGUCCCUCCUGCCCAGUGAUAUUUAUUUAACGGCCGCGGUAUCCUGACCGUGCAAAGGUAGCAUAAUAAUUUGUUUCUUAAUUAGAGACUAGAAUGAAUGGAUAAACGAAAGUUCAACUGUAUCAAUAAUAUAAAUAAAAAUUAUCAUUUAGAUGAAGAGAUCUAAAUUAUUAAAAAAGACAAAAAGACCCUAUUGAGCUUAACUUUUACCUACUUCUAAUAUUUUAUAUUUAUAUAAAACAAAAAGCAAUUUAAAGUUUAGUUGGGGCGACUGAGGAAUUUUUAAUUCUUCCUCUAAUAAUAAGGUAAAUAAACCAAUAUAAAAAUCCUUUUUAAAGAAUAAAAACCUAGCUACCAUAGGGAUAACAGGCUAAUUUUUCUCGAAAGUUCAAAUUGACAGAAUAGAUUGGCACCUCGAUGUUGGCUUAGGAUUUCCUUUAGAUGCAGCAGUCUAUAAGGUAGGUUUGUUCAACCUUUAAUAUCCUACAUGAGCUGAGUUCA